RNAcentral lists this ribosomal RNA (515 nucleotides) under uncultured bacterium. RNAcentral describes it as "bacterial SSU rRNA". It matches the Rfam family "Bacterial small subunit ribosomal RNA", at positions 30 to 521 of the family's 1533-position model. The record is from RNAcentral.
AUUGAACGCUGGCGGCAUGCCUUACACAUGCAAGUCGAACGGCAGCGGGCCUUCGGGUGCCGGCGAGUGGCGAACGGGUGAGUAAUGCAUCGGAACGUGCCAUUGAGUGGGGGGAUAACGUAGCGAAAGUUACGCUAAUACCGCAUAUUCUGUGAGCAGGAAAGCAGGGGACCGCAAGGCCUUGCGCUCUUUGAGCGGCCGAUGUCAGAUUAGCUAGUUGGUGAGGUAAAGGCUUACCAAGGCGACGAUCUGUAGCGGGUCUGAGAGGAUGAUCCGCCACACUGGAACUGAGACACGGUCCAGACUCCUACGGGAGGCAGCAGUGGGGAAUUUUGGACAAUGGGCGCAAGCCUGAUCCAGCCAUGCCGCGUGAGUGAAGAAGGCCUUCGGGUUGUUAAAGGCUCUUUCGGUCCGGGAACGGAAAAGUACGACACUGGGUUUAAAGUAACCCUGUGUGGAUGACGGUACCGGAAGUAAGUAAGACACCGGCUAACUACGUAGCCAGCAGCCGCGGU